GGCGGACGGGUGAGUAAUACUUAGGAGUCUGCCCAUUAGUGGGGGACAACUCGAGGAAACUCGAGCUAAUACCGCAUACGCCCUACGGGGGAAAGCGGAGGACCUUUCGGGGCUUCGCGCUAAUGGAUGAGCCUAAGUCGGAUUAGCUUGUUGGUGAGGUAAAGGCUCACCAAGGCGACGAUCCGUAGCUGGUCUGAGAGGACGAUCAGCCACACUGGGACUGAGACACGGCCCAG
This 236-nucleotide ribosomal RNA is filed under the name uncultured bacterium. Its description in RNAcentral is "partial 16S ribosomal RNA". It matches the Rfam family "Bacterial small subunit ribosomal RNA", at positions 97 to 334 of the family's 1533-position model. The record is from RNAcentral.